UGAAAGAGCACCCGAAAUAAGAAAAUCUGGUUGAAAAGUAACUUAAUUACUAGUACAUUUUUUAUGGGAUAAUUACGGAGAAUGUCCACUCGGACAUCUUAUUUACCAAAAAAAAAUGGUCGCGCCACCUUCUUCCUCACUGGAAAUUUAAUUUACUGAAAAAAAUAGUCAAUUGGCCUUCUUCCUCUUCGCUAUUCGUCUCCUCCUUCUCCUUUUUCUUCUUUCUUCUUUCUUCUUCGUUACUUUUCCCUUUUUCUUUUAAAAAAAGUAAAAAUGGACGCACCCAAACGUGAAUCAUUUCAAGCAAAUUGUAAUCAAAAGACUCAAAAUGUCAAGAGGAGCUCAUAUCUAAGAUUUUAGAUUGUUUAGAGAAGAUUUUGAGUUGGUCGAGAUUGAAAAAAUUUGCAAAUCAAGUUCUUUAAUGGCUAUAGAUUGUGCUCCAUUGAUGACAAGGAAAAAAUGGCUAAAAGGCAGAAGGGGUCAGACGGAUGUUCUUCCCUGCGCUGUUUUUGCAUAUUAAAGAGUUCCUCGUGAAAUGAGGUUGUAAUUACUUUUUAAAAAAAUAAGGUGAUGCCAUUGUGCUACCUCCAUCAGUAUGCUAGUUGUGAGCGCCAAUAGUUUAGACCCAACUGUUGCAUAAUUUGUGGUUGCUAGUAAUUCCUUGUAAUCUUUUUCCUUUACGUUUGUUCCAAUGAUUGAUUAUUA
RNAcentral lists this long non-coding RNA (705 nucleotides) under Capsicum annuum. RNAcentral describes it as "long non-coding RNA (CANN_LNC002778)". The record is from RNAcentral. Lineage: Eukaryota; Viridiplantae; Streptophyta; Magnoliopsida; Solanales; Solanaceae.